GAUGAACGCUGGCGGCGUGCCUAAUACAUGCAAGUCGAGCGAACAGACGAGGAGCUUGCUCCUCUGACGUUAGCGGCGGACGGGUGAGUAACACGUGGAUAACCUACCUAUAAGACUGGGAUAACUUCGGGAAACCGGAGCUAAUACCGGAUAAUAUAUUGAACCGCAUGGUUCAAUAGUGAAAGACGGUUUUGCUGUCACUUAUAGAUGGAUCCGCGCCGCAUUAGCUAGUUGGUAAGGUAACGGCUUACCAAGGCAACGAUGCGUAGCCGACCUGAGAGGAUGAUCGGCAACACUGGAACUGAGACACGGUCCAGACUCCUACGGGAGGCAGCAGUAGGGAAGCUUCCGCAAUGGGCGAAAGCCUGACGGAGCAACGCCGCGUGAGUGAUGAAGGUCUUCGGAUCGUAAAACUCUGUUAUUAGGGAAGAACAAAUGUGUAAGUAACUAUGCACGUCUUGACGGUACCUAAUCAGAAAGCCACGGCUAACUACGUG
This 497-nucleotide ribosomal RNA is filed under the name uncultured bacterium. Its description in RNAcentral is "partial 16S ribosomal RNA". It matches the Rfam family "Bacterial small subunit ribosomal RNA", at positions 28 to 507 of the family's 1533-position model. The record is from RNAcentral.